This 542-nucleotide ribosomal RNA is filed under the name uncultured bacterium. RNAcentral's name for it is "partial 16S ribosomal RNA". It matches the Rfam family "Bacterial small subunit ribosomal RNA", at positions 355 to 888 of the family's 1533-position model. The record is from RNAcentral.
UGGGGAAUUUUGGACAAUGGGCGAAAGCCUGAUCCAGCAAUGCCGCGUGUGUGAAGAAGGCCUUCGGGUUGUAAAGCACUUUUGUCCGGAAAGAAAUCCUUGGCUCUAAUACAGUCGGGGGAUGACGGUACCGGAAGAAUAAGCACCGGCUAACUACGUGCCAGCAGCCGCGGUAAUACGUAGGGUGCAAGCGUUAAUCGGAAUUACUGGGCGUAAAGCGUGCGCAGGCGGUUUGCUAAGACCGAUGUGAAAUCCCCGGGCUCAACCUGGGAACUGCAUUGGUGACUGGCAGGCUAGAGUAUGGCAGAGGGGGGUAGAAUUCCACGUGUAGCAGUGAAAUGCGUAGAGAUGUGGAGGAAUACCGAUGGCGAAGGCAGCCCCCUGGGCCAAUACUGACGCUCAUGCACGAAAAGCGUGGGGAGCAAAACAGGAUUAGAUACCCUGGUAGUCCACGCCCUAAAACGAUGUCAACUAGUUGUUGGGGAUUCAUUUCCUUAGUAACGUACUAACGCGUGAAGUUGACCGCCUGGGGAGUACGGUCG